UGGCAGGUAGCCUAGUGGUCAAGAGCAUUAGGCCAGUAACUGAAAAGUUUCUGGUUCAGAUUCCAGACCUGACUA
This 75-nucleotide transfer RNA is filed under the name Salmo salar (Atlantic salmon). It matches the Rfam family "tRNA". From Rfam's summary of the family: Transfer RNA (tRNA) molecules are approximately 80 nucleotides in length. The record is from Rfam by way of RNAcentral. Lineage: Eukaryota; Metazoa; Chordata; Actinopteri; Salmoniformes; Salmonidae.